This 1749-nucleotide long non-coding RNA is filed under the name Malus domestica (apple). RNAcentral describes it as "long non-coding RNA (MDOM_LNC009483)". The record is from RNAcentral. Lineage: Eukaryota; Viridiplantae; Streptophyta; Magnoliopsida; Rosales; Rosaceae.
UCGAUCGGAGUGGUUCUCGGGUCUGGGCUUCGUAGAGCGGGUUUGAGCGGUGCAUGUGGGUCGACGAGAUGCAGAUUCAACGGUUGCAGAUGCAGCGGGGUUCGACUUGUAGCUGCGAGUAAAGUUACAGAAAGUGAAUCGACGUCAGGUGCGGUGCGGCGAAGAUGGAUUUGAUGCGGGUGCAGGAUGUGGAGACAAGGCAGUAAGAAUGGCGAUGGUGCGGUGAAUAUUUCUCACUUUGCAGCAAUGAAUCAACACUAAGAUCAUCUUCAAUUUUUGGGGUAAAGCUUAAAAAUUUAACUAUUUAAGCUAAAAAAAUUUAAGUUAUAAUCUAAAAACUGUUUUUUUCGUCCAAUCUUAAAAUUUUAAUCCGAAAUUAUUAAAUAAUAAUUUAGCCUUUUAUUAUUUAUUUUUUUGGAUAACUUUUUUGAAAAUAUGAUUUAUGUAUAUUAUCCUAAUUUAUUUUUACAAACAUUUUAAUAUAAAAAUAUUUAAAUUCCCAUAAGUAAUUAAAAAUCAUACAAAUACAUAAGUAUUUAUAAAGUUUUAAGUGAAAUUUGAUUGAAAUAAUUUUUUUUAAUUAUUUUAGAUGUUAAAUUUAAUUUUGUGCUUCAAAUUUAAUUUUUUUUACCAUUAGAUUUAAUCUCACUUAAUCAUAGUCGUUGGACUAUAAGUCAAAAAAAAAUUGAAAGGGUCCAAAAUAGUUUAAGACAGGCUUAAAUUAUGGGAGGAAUUUAGUCCAGAGAUACAUUUUCUCCCUAGGAUUUAUUUUAGCCCAAUGGUUGAUGGGGUUUUAAAACUUAUAUUUUAAGUUUUAUCUCAUGGAUUGAAGAUGGUUUAAGGGCGUGUAGUAAAUUCAGGAUUUGAUAGGAUUUUAAUAGACUUUAAAAUUCGGGUAUAGUCAAUUAAGUUUUAAAAGAGGAUUUUAAAAAACUUUGAAAUCAUGGUGUAAACUUAAGAUUUAAGAGGAUUUUUAAGAAUACAUUCAAAUCCAACGGUAGUCGAUUCAGAUUUUAAAAAGUCCUUUCAAAUCUAUAGGUAUUCAAAAUGUCAUAAAUUUUGAGGGAUUUCUUUAAGUAAAGGAUUUUGUAGGAUUUGGGAGUGAAUUUUAUGCAUAAUAAAGGCUACAAAGAAUCUCAUCUCCCCGCUAGGAUUUCUUUUCAAGCUUCAAUUUGACUAUUCUCUCCCAAGCCGAUAUAAACACCAAAUUGAACUCUGGGACCUUUCUUCUUCAUUGUGUUCUCAGGUCCCACUCUUUCUUGGUAUGCAUCUAUUAAGUGGUCAAUUUCCAUUUUUUUUUAUGGAUGGUUUUUCUGAAGAUUAUGGUUUGUGGGUUUUUCUCCUUUGAUUUCAAAAACUGUUUGUGAACAGUAUGAGGUUUUUUGUUACGUAAAAAAUAUGAAGGUUUUGUUGUUGAUUUUGUUGGGUUUGUAGCUGAUGUUGUGCUUCUGAUAUUGAAUGUGCUUUUACUGGUAAUUUUCCAUUUCUCUCUCUGUCUAGUUGUAUCGAUUCGUUCUUGUCGGGUUUUAGAAAUCAAGAUUUGUAUGUGAAUGAGAGAUGUAACUGAAAGGCAUUUCUUUGCGUGAAUGCUCUAUAUAAUUGCCCAGAAAACAUUUGACAAAAAUAGCAUAAGAGGUAGGGGAUAAGCUAUGGAUGAAAAAUGGUUGUUGUGACAGUUUGAUUAGAUUUAUGACCUAUACACAUUUAUCAUCAUUUGAUCUAUUUGACAGUCAAGAUUAAGCGAUGCAU